UACAGAGGGUGCGAGCGUUAAUCGGAAUUACUGGGCGUAAAGGGUGCGUAGGUGGUUUAUUAAGUCAGAUGUGAAAUCCCCGGGCUUAACCUGGGAAUUGCAUAUGAUACUGGUAAGCUAGAGUGUGGAAGAGGGAAGUGGAAUUUCCGGUGUAGCGGUGAAAUGCGUAGAUAUCGGAAGGAACAUCAGUGGCGAAGGCGACUUCCUGGUCCAUUACUGACACUGAGGCACGAAAGCGUGGGGAGCAAACAGG
This 253-nucleotide ribosomal RNA is filed under the name uncultured bacterium. RNAcentral's name for it is "partial 16S ribosomal RNA". It matches the Rfam family "Bacterial small subunit ribosomal RNA", at positions 524 to 776 of the family's 1533-position model. The record is from RNAcentral.